This 2339-nucleotide long non-coding RNA is filed under the name Capra hircus (goat). RNAcentral's name for it is "lncRNA (ENSCHIG00010007640.1)". Lineage: Eukaryota; Metazoa; Chordata; Mammalia; Artiodactyla; Bovidae. The record is from RNAcentral.
AUGAGUAAAAAAAGAGACCAAAAAAAAAAAAGAAACAUCUUUUCCUUAAUCAAAACAGAGUCUUUAUCCUCAACCAGACCAGGGCUCUUCACUAAAGCUGGACUCUCCCCCUCUUUUACUCAUAAGAGUGCUUCACUGAUUUUUGAAAGUGAAAUGAAAAGGUUGCAAAUUGCAGGCAAAGAUGUGCGGCUUUUUUCAAGGACAGGGGGAAACAAACUGGUAAUGUGUUAUCAAUGCAGGCAGCUUCAGUAAUUAAAAGCAGCUUUCCAAAGGCUGAGCUUUUCUCUACAAUUCAUGAAAACAGUGUGAAUUAUGCCUUAAUCUUCUGUCAACCUCCCCAACCAAAUAAAAAAAUAAAAACCAGGAACAGGAAAUCCAGAACUUUAAGUCUUUCCAUCUCUCAAAGGUCUUGGGAGAAUUUUUGUUAACCUCUUCAUCCUUCUCCCUUCCUUUCAUUGCCCACUCCCACCAGUCUACUUCUUGAAAAAGAUUAUNNNNNNNNNNNNNNNNNNNNNNNNNNNNNNNNNNNNNNNNNNNNNNNNNNNNNNNNNNNNNNNNNNNNNNNNNNNNNNNNNNNNNNNNNNNNNNNNNNNAUGUCCUGUGUUUCCUUAUCUCUGAGUUUUUAUAUAAGCUGGAGUCCCUCUGCCUGGGAGAUUCUUCCCCAUCCUCUAUCCCUUCAUUGUUAAAGUCCUAUAUCAUCGGAGCAGAUUCUUUAGAGACCGUUAAAAAUGGAAUUAUUAAUAUUAUUUAAUGACAGAAAAUAAUUAUAAUGUUAAUUGGAAUAAUCAAGUUGCCAAAUGGUAUCUAUUCUGUGACAACUCCAUAAAAUCAUAAAUUCAGAUGGAUAAAGUAAAUAUGCAACAAUGAAAAUAGCUACCAUAAUAAUGAGAUAAAGGUUUUAAAAUUUAAGUUAGGUUUUAAAGGUUUUAAAAUUUAAUUGAAAAAGUUUGGUAUAAAUUUAAAUUUUUUUUCUUAAAAAAAUGCCUGUCCUUUCUUUAAAGACCAAAUGAUAUCUUUUCUAAAACCCUUGAUAUGAAUUUUCCUUCUCUUUGUUAGAGGCUCAAUUACAUAGCAUCUAUCACAUACCAUCUUGUAUCUGAGGCAAUAAACUAUGUGCUUUCCUCGAUUAUUAAAAUUGUGAAAUUUUGAAGACCAAGAAACUCAUCUUUAUGUUUUCUUUGCAUCCUUUAUAGAACCCAGCAGAUUACUUGGCAAACAGUAGGGGAUGAUAAAUACUUGAUUAACAAUAAACCUUUCUGAAGUAGCUGAAAGUAGGGAUAAGGUACCAAAUUAAAAGCAAGGGAAAGUCUGCACAAACAGUGAGCUCCCAGCCCCUUCACUUCUUGGGCCCAGAAAACUGGAAGACUUCUCUGUGUGGAAGUCAAAGGGGUUGGGGGUAUAUACUGUAUGUAUAUACAGUAUCCCACCACUAUGGGAUUGCUUCAGAUAACACAUAUUGAUAGGGUUCAGAUAACCCAUAAUAAUAGGUUCAGAUAACCCUAUUGUGAAAUGCUGUAGUGAAUAGUAACUGCCCACUCAUACAAAGGAUGGGACUAAAUCAGGAAAGAGGAAGACAAGAGGUGAAAAAAAAACAGUGGAUCCAACACAGAAAAGAGAUCAAGAGAAUUCUCACAAUGCUGAUAAACGGAAUCCUGCAGACAAUAGUGGUACGACAGGUGUAGAGUGCAAGCCGUUCAGACGGAAUUCAACAUAGCAAGAAGCUGUCUCUAACAAGAAUGCAAAAAAGGGAAUGGACAGCAUUCAUUACAUAUGUGCAUAUGUAUAAACACACUGAGUAGUUGUAAAGCUUUCAGGCAGCUUGCAAUUUAAUUUGUGAUGUUGUUUAGUUGCUCGGUUAUGCUUGACUCUUUUGAGACCUCAUGGACGGUAGCCCAUCAGGCUCCUCUGUCCAUGGAACUUCCCAGGUAAGAAUACUGGAAUGGGUUGCCAUUUCCCCCUCUAAAGGGGAUCUUCCCGAACCAGGGAUUGAACCCAGUGCAGAAGACAUCUUCUGCACUGGCAGGUGGAUUCUUUACUACUGAACUGCGAGAAUUCCCUUAAUAUGUGACAGUUGUACAGAAAAUGAAAGCAAACAAAAGUGUACAAUAAAUAAUUAUAAAUAUGGUACAAUGGUUCAGAUGUGAAAAAUACUAUAGCUACAUAGUGCAAUAAUAUAAAUACUGACUAUUUACAUAACAAAAAAUGUACUAGGGUAGGAGGCAGGGAUUUAACUUUUUUAUAUAUUACUUUUCUUCCAAAUUAAAUAUUGGAACCUGUGGCUUGAUGGCAGUUUUCCUUCUCUGCUGUGUAAAUUUACUUGAAACAUUUUACAAAAGUAU